GGGAAGGUGGCCGAGUUGGCCGAAGGCGCGUCCCUGCUAAGGACGUAUAGGAGUUUUCCUAUCGCGAGUUCGAAUCUCGCCCUUCCCG
RNAcentral lists this transfer RNA (88 nucleotides) under Fibrobacter sp. RNAcentral describes it as "tRNA-Ser". It matches the Rfam family "tRNA". Rfam says of the family: Transfer RNA (tRNA) molecules are approximately 80 nucleotides in length. Their secondary structure includes four short double-helical elements and three loops (D, anti-codon, and T loops). Lineage: Bacteria; Pseudomonadati; Fibrobacterota; Fibrobacteria; Fibrobacterales; Fibrobacteraceae. The record is from RNAcentral. RNAcentral also lists the same sequence under 3 other names.